RNAcentral lists this transfer RNA (92 nucleotides) under Candidatus Curtissbacteria bacterium. Its description in RNAcentral is "tRNA-Ser". It matches the Rfam family "tRNA". From Rfam's summary of the family: Transfer RNA (tRNA) molecules are approximately 80 nucleotides in length. Lineage: Bacteria; Candidatus Curtissiibacteriota. The record is from RNAcentral.
GGUGGGAUGCGAGAGUCCGGCUGAAUCGGCAGUCCUGGAAAGACUGAAUGGCCGAAAGGUCAUCGUGGGUUCGAAUCCCACUCCCACCGCCA